ACGGGGGGUGCGAGCGUUGUCCGGAAUCACUGGGCGUAAAGGGCGCGUAGGUGGUUUGAUAAGGGUGUGGUGAAAGUCCGGGGCUCAACCCCGGAUCUGCCGUGCCGACUGUCAAACUCGAGGGCUGUAGAGGCAGACGGAAUUCCGGGUGUAGCGGUGGAAUGCGUAGAUAUCAUUUGGAACGCCAACGGCGAAAGCAGGCAGCUGGGGAUGCACCGACGCUGAGACACGAAAGCCAGGGGAGCGAACGGGA
This 253-nucleotide ribosomal RNA is filed under the name uncultured prokaryote. RNAcentral's name for it is "partial 16S ribosomal RNA". It matches the Rfam family "Bacterial small subunit ribosomal RNA", at positions 525 to 777 of the family's 1533-position model. The record is from RNAcentral.